RNAcentral lists this ribosomal RNA (252 nucleotides) under uncultured Bacteroidales bacterium. RNAcentral describes it as "partial 16S ribosomal RNA". It matches the Rfam family "Bacterial small subunit ribosomal RNA", at positions 524 to 776 of the family's 1533-position model. The record is from RNAcentral. Lineage: Bacteria; Pseudomonadati; Bacteroidota; Bacteroidia; Bacteroidales.
UACGGAGGAUGCGAGCGUUAUCCGGAUUUAUUGGGUUUAAAGGGUGCGUAGGCGGACGGUCAAGUCAGCGGUAAAAAUGCGGUGCUCAACGCCGUACAGCCGUUGAAACUGGCAGUCUUGAGAUGUCGAGAGGUAUGCGGAAUGCGCAGUGUAGCGGUGAAAUGCUUAGAUAUUGCGCAGAACUCCGACUGCGAAGGCAGCAUACCGGCGCCCGACUGACGCUGAGGCACGAAAGUGCGGGUAUCGAACAGG